Molecule: ribosomal RNA, 424 nt
Filed under: uncultured bacterium
Lineage: Bacteria
Description: bacterial SSU rRNA
Rfam family: Bacterial small subunit ribosomal RNA
Source: RNAcentral
AUUGAACGCUGGCGGCAUGCCUUACACAUGCAAGUCGAACGGCAGCACGGGAGCAAUCCUGGUGGCGAGUGGCGAACGGGUGAGUAAUAUAUCGGAACGUGCCCAGUCGUGGGGAUAACGUGGCGAAAGCUACGCUAAUACCGCAUACGAUCUAUGGAUGAAAGCGGGGGAUCGCAAGACCUCGCGCGAUUGGAGCGGCCGAUAUCAGAUUAGGUAGUUGGUGAGGUAAAGGCUCACCAAGCCGACGAUCUGUAGCUGGUCUGAGAGGACGACCAGCCACACUGGGACUGAGACACGGCCCAGACUCCUACGGGAGGCAGCAGUGGGGAAUUUUGGACAAUGGGCGCAAGCCUGAUCCAGCAAUGCCGCGUGCAGGAUGAAGGCCUCGGUUGUAACUAGCUUUGUACGGUAACGAAACGGUAGG